UCCCUGGUGGCUCAACGGUAAAGAAUCUGCCUGCAAUGCAGGAGACCCAGGAGACGCAGGUUUGAUCCCUGGCUCGGGAA
Molecule: transfer RNA, 80 nt
Filed under: Bos taurus (domestic cattle)
Lineage: Eukaryota; Metazoa; Chordata; Mammalia; Artiodactyla; Bovidae
Also listed under: 2 other names
Rfam family: tRNA
About the family: Transfer RNA (tRNA) molecules are approximately 80 nucleotides in length. Their secondary structure includes four short double-helical elements and three loops (D, anti-codon, and T loops).
Source: Rfam by way of RNAcentral